GUCUAUUCAAACAACCAUCAUCAAAACACGUAGCACCAUUAUAUAACAAGGGCUUAGGAAUUAAAAUUUAUAUUAUAAGCUUUAUUUACUAAUACUAAAAUAUUAACAAGAUGCAUGAACUUGGGUUUUAUCACUAAGAUUCCACUUGUGAUGAGCCAAAUGCUAAUAACGCUCAAUAAACUUCGGCUCCAAUUAUGUAAGAUACUAGGAUCAUGCCACUAAUUCAAUUAGCAAAAAUUCCAACUCACAAUCUUAGACUUUUCAAUAAUAAACAGGACACUUAUUACAUGAGGAAACCAUACUUAAGAAAGUAUUCCCAAAUACCCAAGAAUGCAUUUAGAAUGCCCACACUGAUGUUGAUAAUUCUACGAUAUACAAAUUUUAUUCUCAUAGUUUUCUAGCUAUAAAUCACCACCUCGUCAUAAGUAGGAUCUAAUACAACACCAUUUACGGAAAUUAGCAUAAAAUAAAAGUUUCAACCGAACAUCCCCGAAAACAAGAACCUUUAUUAUUUUAGUAAUAUAAGUAGGAAGCAAUGAAGCAUCAAAACAUAAUAUGUGGGUUUUAACAUCAACAAAUAUUGACCACACUAACAGCUAUAUCUAUUUAUUUUCAAAACCCCAUCCAUCAAGAAUUAAUAAUCAAACCAUAUAAUCCAAUUCUAAAAAUUCAAAUUUAGUAAACAACCCAACCUCUGUUUCAAUUCACUCCAAACCUUCCCUCAUUAUCAUUCAGUAUAUACACAAAACAAUAAAACUAAGCAAUCAUAAACAACCACAUAGUAUCAAUCUUCCCUACCCAUUACCAAAAUGCUUGAUCAAUAAUCAAUGAUUACUAUAAAAAACAUAAAUGAAUCCAUAGUCAUCAAUUAACAAAUCGCAAAAAGAAUGUACCGGAGAAGUAACAGAUGCAAUGGCACCGAAAAAAAAUAGUGAAUACACUUAUAAAGCCAACGAUCAAAUCUAGCAAGUAUCUACUUAAUGAAUAACUAUAGAUCUACUGGGGUUGAGACAGAAACAAAUAGAAUGGGUGGCUUUUGAAGGCGCUGAUCUGGAGCAGAAUAGACACUGGUAUUGGUGAAGAAGAAUAGGUGAGCCGUUGGUUUCAACCUGAAGCUGAAAUGGGUCUGAAACUAAAAUAGGGAGCGUUUUUUUUUUUUUUUUUUUUU
Molecule: unclassified non-coding RNA, 1168 nt
Filed under: Hevea brasiliensis (rubber tree)
Lineage: Eukaryota; Viridiplantae; Streptophyta; Magnoliopsida; Malpighiales; Euphorbiaceae
Source: RNAcentral